CGAAGGUGCAAGCGUUACUCGGAAUUACUGGGCGUAAAGCGUGCGUAGGUGGUUCGUUAAGUCUGUCGUGAAAGCCCCGGGCUCAACCUGGGAAUGGCGAUGGAUACUGGCGAGCUAGAGUGCGGUAGAGGAGAGUGGAAUUCCCGGUGUAGCAGUGAAAUGCGUAGAGAUCGGGAGGAACAUCAGUUGCGAAGGCGGCUCUCUGGACCAGCACUGACACUGAGGCACGAAAGCGUGGGGAGCAAACAGGAUUAGAUACCCUGGUAGUCCACGCCCUAAACGAUGCGAACUGGACGUUGGGAGCAAUCAGGCUCUCAGUGUCGAAGCUAACGCGUUAAGUUCGCCGCCUUGGGAGUACGGUCGCAAGACUG
Molecule: ribosomal RNA, 371 nt
Filed under: uncultured organism
Description: bacterial SSU rRNA
Rfam family: Bacterial small subunit ribosomal RNA
Source: RNAcentral